CCAGACUCCUACGGGAGGCAGCAGUGGGGAAUUUUGGACAAUGGGCGCAAGCCUGAUCCAGCCAUGCCGCGUGUCUGAAGAAGGCCUUCGGGUUGUAAAGGACUUUUGUUAGGGAAGAAAAGGAUAGUGUUAAUACCAUUAUCUGCUGACGGUACCUAAAGAAUAAGCACCGGCUAACUACGUGCCAGCAGCCGCGGUAAUACGUAGGGUGCGAGCGUUAAUCGGAAUUACUGGGCGUAAAGCGAGCGCAGACGGUUUAUUAAGCAAGAUGUGAAAUCCCCGAGCUUAACUUGGGAACUGCGUUUUGAACUGGUAAGCUAGAGUAUGUCAGAGGGGGGUAGAAUUCCACGUGUAGCAGUGAAAUGCGUAGAGAUGUGGAGGAAUACCGAUGGCGAAGGCAGCCCCCUGGGAUAAUACUGACGUUCAUGCUCGAAAGCGUGGGUAGCAAACAGGAUUAGAUACCCUGGUAGUCCACGCCCUAAACGAUGUCAAUUAGCUGUUGGGCAGCUUGACUGCUUAGUAGCGAAGCUAACGCGUGAAAUCGACCGCCUGGGGAGUACGGUCGCAAGAUUAAAACUCAA
This 581-nucleotide ribosomal RNA is filed under the name uncultured bacterium. RNAcentral's name for it is "bacterial SSU rRNA". It matches the Rfam family "Bacterial small subunit ribosomal RNA", at positions 331 to 904 of the family's 1533-position model. The record is from RNAcentral.